This 449-nucleotide ribosomal RNA is filed under the name uncultured bacterium. Its description in RNAcentral is "bacterial SSU rRNA". It matches the Rfam family "Bacterial small subunit ribosomal RNA", at positions 954 to 1402 of the family's 1533-position model. The record is from RNAcentral.
GAUUAACGCGAAGAACCUUACCUACCCUUGACAUGUCCGGAAGGCUGCUGAAAGGCGGCUGUGCCCGAAAGGGAACUGGAACACAGGUGCUGCAUGGCUGUCGUCAGCUCGUGUCGUGAAAUGUUGGGUUAAGUCCCGCAACGAGCGCAACCCUUGUCAUUAGUUGCUACAUUCAGUUGGGCACUCUAAUGAGACUGCCGGUGACAAACCGGAGGAAGGUGGGGAUGACGUCAAGUCCUCAUGGCCCUUAUGGGUAGGGCUUCACACGUAAUACAAUGGCGCGUACAGAGGGCCUGCUAAGCCGCGAGGUAGAGCCAAUCCCUUAAAGCGCGUCGUAGUCCGGAUUGCAGUCUGCAACUCGACUGCAUGAAGUCGGAAUCGCUAGUAAUCGCGGAUCAGCAUGUCGCGGUGAAUACGUUCCCGGGCCUUGUACACACCGAAUCACUAGU